CCCUGGGACAUUAAUGCACAUGGUCUGCUCCAACAAGCUGCAUUCAGACCCUUGAUUACCUGUAGCCACGCCUCCUGCUCAGACCAGGAAGUGCCUCUACCCACAGCCAGGAGUAUGGAGCCCCUGUGCAGAGAAACCACCCAGAGAACUGGAGGGGAGGUUGGCUAACAGCCGCUGCAGGCCGGGUCAACUCUACCACUCCAAAAACUCAAAUGCUAAUGUCAGUUGAUGAGGAGACGCUCCUCCUGCUCCUGAGAGGACAAACAUUCAGAGAUAAUCAGAUCCAGACGGAGCCGUGAGGUUAACGUGUCUGCAGCCGGAUUCAGCUUUACUUCUGCGGCUGCUCAGGAGUUCCAGCUCAGGAUGGAAGGAAGCUCGAUCAAGUCAUGAGCAGGAGAGACGGAGACGGGUCAGGAGGACGAGUAUCACAGAGUCCCUGAAUGCCCCCUAACAGAGGGUCUCUGUCCGUGAGCAGCUGACUCCGCCCACCUGACCCCGCCUGCAGGACGAGAUCUGAUUGGUCCGUUUCCUCCAGACAGUCCUGAUAACAGAGUUUUUCUGUGGUCACUCCUCAGAGAUGUGACUGUGCUGAGUGAUCGAGCCCAUAGUACCGUUUCCUCCUCCCGGAGCCUGAAGGCGUCACAGCCGUCCGCUCAGACGAGGAUGGUGACGAAGGUUUUGCAGCUUCCUCGGACAAACUGCUGCUGACGACGGUGAGCUGGAAGUCGUCGUCCAUGGAGAUCAAAGAACUUCCCCACCACACUGAUUUCCAUCCCCUCGACCUCUCUGGAGCUCUGAGGGAGGACGACCAACAUCCAGACAUGAAGAGAAGAAAGAGAGAGAGUGCAAAGAGUCACGUUAGAAGGAGUCCAUGUCUACUUUCACGUCUUUAAAGAUUAAAGGUUCAUAAUUACCCGCUGAGGUUGAGGUGAGGAUGCUGCAGAGGACGAUGAUGCUGGUGAUGAUGAUGAUGAAGGUGGAGUGAUGUAGUUGAAGAUGGGGGACAGGAGCUGUCUCAGCUGAGGCGUGCACAGAUCCUGAGGAUGUUCCGGCACUGAGUCCGGACCGGACGGAUUGCAGAACGACAGCUCAACAAAAUCUGACAGAGACGAUGAAACAGAGAGAGAGAGGCUCAGACACGUUAACAUUUUAAAGAAACACGUCACUUCUAAAGAAACUUCAUCCACGUGUUCGUGUCUCACCUCCUGUCAGAGGGAUGAUGGCGUCCCCGACUGCAGGAGCCAACUGAAGAAGCGCCUCCGGCUCCUCCCUCAGUUUGGAGAAGAGAUCUACAUCACUGGUGGGGUUCGAACCUGAGACCUCAGGUAGACGCUCACUGUCAGAGUCACUGAUGUCAGAAGUCUCCACAUCCUGCGGUGACAGAGGCGGCGUGUGAGCUUCAGCUUCAGACAAGCGGCUGCUUCGAGUCUGCUCCACGGAGAACACGACGUCCGGCUGCUCCACGGCGCUGCAGAGGAAGAAGGAGAGGAAGUCAGCGUCAGAAAGAAUCAUGUUCAUCUUUUCAUCACUUUAAAGAUUUUACUUUGUUCUUCUUUUUCAGUACCUGAGGAUGAAGUUGAGGCAGACGACGGCCUCGGGCUGAGACGUCUUGCUGUUGUAGAGGACGGUGGCCUGAGUCUGCGCCCAGACGAAGCCGCCGCCGUUCACCAGGAAACGGUAACAGCUGGUGCUCACCUGACCUUUGGACAACACUUCAUGUGACAGAGACAGAAAAGAGACGUUAACACCAGGAACAGAGACUGUUUUCACAAGCAUUCAUGCAGAAUUAAAUCAAAUGAAAGUCUUAUAAAUAUGCAGCUUCUCAAACUGACAUGUGUGCAGACUCUUGUUGACGUGAUCAGAAUCGAGUGCGUGGUGAAACUCGUAUGCUGAGCAGCCAAUCAGAUCAUCAGGUCAGAUCUUGAGCGUUCACCCUACCUGCCCUCGCAGUGUGUGAAGCGCAGGUCCAUGCUGUGGCGGGUGAGGAAAGUGUGUGUGUCCAGAAGGAACUCCACGCUGGACGGGUGAGGGACGGGCUCACACAGCAGAGUCAUGACUCGGGCUGAGGGGGGCGACGUGGAGCUGCAGCUGAAGGGACGCAUGUGACCUGUGCAGUGAAGGACCUGCAGAGAGGAGAGGAGAGGAGAGUCGUAGAGACGAGUCUCCUUUCUCAAACCUGACUUCACUCAGAAUAAAUGAUGAAACAACUCA
This is a long non-coding RNA of Notolabrus celidotus (New Zealand spotty), 2211 nucleotides long. RefSeq lists it as uncharacterized. The record is from RefSeq and is a predicted model, not a curated record. The transcript has 8 exons. NCBI's taxonomy places the organism in Eukaryota, Metazoa, Chordata, Actinopteri, Labriformes, Labridae.